This 253-nucleotide ribosomal RNA is filed under the name uncultured bacterium. RNAcentral's name for it is "partial 16S ribosomal RNA". It matches the Rfam family "Bacterial small subunit ribosomal RNA", at positions 524 to 776 of the family's 1533-position model. The record is from RNAcentral.
UACGUAGGGGGCGAGCGUUAUCCGGAUUUACUGGGCGUAAAGAGCGCGUAGGCGGUUCCGCAAGUUGGUUGUGAAAGUUCGAGGCUCAACCUCGAAACUGCGUCCAAAACUGCGGGGCUAGAGUGCAAGAGAGGCAAGUGGAAUUCCCGGUGUAGUAGUGAAAUGCGUAGAUAUCGGGAGGAACACCAGUGGCGAAGGCGGCUUGCUAGCUUGCAACUGACGCUGAGGCGCGAAAGCUAGGGGAGCGAACGGG